This 481-nucleotide ribosomal RNA is filed under the name uncultured bacterium. Its description in RNAcentral is "bacterial SSU rRNA". It matches the Rfam family "Bacterial small subunit ribosomal RNA", at positions 30 to 507 of the family's 1533-position model. The record is from RNAcentral.
AUUGAACGCUGGCGGCAUGCCUUACACAUGCAAGUCGAACGGUAACAGGUCUCGGAUGCUGACGAGUGGCGAACGGGUGAGUAAUACAUCGGAACGUGCCCGAGAGUGGGGGAUAACGAAGCGAAAGCUUUGCUAAUACCGCAUACGAUCUCAGGAUGAAAGCAGGGGACCGCAAGGCCUUGCGCUCACGGAGCGGCCGAUGGCAGAUUAGGUAGUUGGUGGGAUAAAAGCUUACCAAGCCGACGAUCUGUAGCUGGUCUGAGAGGACGACCAGCCACACUGGGACUGAGACACGGCCCAGACUCCUACGGGAGGCAGCAGUGGGGAAUUUUGGACAAUGGGCGCAAGCCUGAUCCAGCCAUGCCGCGUGCAGGAUGAAGGCCUUCGGGUUGUAAACUGCUUUUGUACGGAACGAAAAGACUCUGGUUAAUACCUGGGGUCCAUGACGGUACCGUAAGAAUAAGCACCGGCUAACUACGUG